RNAcentral lists this ribosomal RNA (507 nucleotides) under uncultured bacterium. RNAcentral's name for it is "partial 16S ribosomal RNA". It matches the Rfam family "Bacterial small subunit ribosomal RNA", at positions 29 to 507 of the family's 1533-position model. The record is from RNAcentral.
ACGAACGCUGGCGGCGUGCCUAAUACAUGCAAGUCGAACGCUUCUUUCCUCCCGAGUGCUUGCACUCAAUUGGAAAGAGGAGUGGCGGACGGGUGAGUAACACGUGGGUAACCUACCCAUCAGAGGGGGAUAACACUUGGAAACAGGUGCUAAUACCGCAUAACAGUUUAUGCCGCAUGGCAUAAGAGUGAAAGGCGCUUUCGGGUGUCGCUGAUGGAUGGACCCGCGGUGCAUUAGCUAGUUGGUGAGGUAACGGCUCACCAAGGCGACGAUGCAUAGCCGACCUGAGAGGGUGAUCGGCCACACUGGGACUGAGACACGGCCCAGACUCCUACGGGAGGCAGCAGUAGGGAAUCUUCGGCAAUGGACGAAAGUCUGACCGAGCAACGCCGCGUGAGUGAAGAAGGUGUUCGGAUCGUAAAACUCUGUUGUUAGAGAAGAACAAGGACGUUAGUAACUGAACGUCCCCUGACGGUAUCUAACCAGAAAGCCACGGCUAACUACGUG